UACGUAGGGAGCAAGCGUUGUCCGGAAUCAUUGGGCGUAAAGCGCGCGUAGGCGGCCCGAUAAGUCCGCUGUAAAAGUCAACGGCUCAACUGUUGAAAGCCGGUGGAUACUGUCGGGCUAGAGUACGGAAGAGGCAAGUGGAAUUCCUGGUGUAGCGGUGGAAUGCGCAGAUGUCAGGAGGAACACCCAUAGCGAAGGCAGCUUGCUGGGACGUUACUGACGCUAAGGCGCGAAAGCGUGGGGAGCGAACAGG
Molecule: ribosomal RNA, 253 nt
Filed under: uncultured bacterium
Lineage: Bacteria
Description: partial 16S ribosomal RNA
Rfam family: Bacterial small subunit ribosomal RNA
Source: RNAcentral